CCCAAUCUGUCGACGCUGACGAUGGCCAAUUUCAGACUCAGAACGAUGCUCCACCAAUAAGAUCGUGAGAUCGCAGUGCAGAACGGAGGAGGUUGAAUCUGGAAAGUUCAUAAGGAAAUAUGAGAAAACCGUAGAGCUUAUCCGCAACUGCGUCGGAAGGACUUAGGAGCAAAGCUCCAACUGUGGAAGUGAUGCUCAAGAAUUUGACUAUUGAGGUUGAUUCCUAUGCUGUCAGCACUCAGCAGAGCUUUGCCAAACCUACCAAGCUCUGCAUUGAACAUUGUAGAAAUACUUCUUGGUGCCUGUGGGAUUAGUACUGCUAUGAGAACAAAGCUCAUACUUCCAAAUUUUUCUUCAUUGUUACGAGAUAUAUAGGCUUCAUUGCACAGCGACUUGAUGCUCACUCACCUAGCAACAACUGAUUCAUGUAUCAGAAUCCAAAGAAGACAUCGUGGGUUGGAAAUGGAGAGAAGAGUAAAGGCAGAAUGAGAAAGGAGUAAAGGAUUGCCUUCCACCAAGGGUAAUAACCAACCAACAAGGUGCCUGAACAUAUUGCAAGAUUUUGAAAAGUGACAACUCGGAUAAAAUGGCAGUGUCUAAGCUCAUGUCUAUGUUUUAAUAUAUUCAUUAAGUUAGUCUUAUUGAUGGUUGUAUGUUGUGCCAUCCUUACUAAGGUCUUUUUGCUUAGUGAAGUUCAAGCUUUUUAUUCA
Molecule: long non-coding RNA, 710 nt
Organism: Lotus japonicus
Lineage: Eukaryota; Viridiplantae; Streptophyta; Magnoliopsida; Fabales; Fabaceae
Exons: 6
Source: RefSeq, a predicted model, not a curated record